Lepus europaeus (European hare) is the source of this 1106-nucleotide long non-coding RNA. RefSeq lists it as uncharacterized. NCBI's taxonomy places the organism in Eukaryota, Metazoa, Chordata, Mammalia, Lagomorpha, Leporidae. The transcript is spliced from 2 exons. The record is from RefSeq and is a predicted model, not a curated record.
AGGCCUCCAUGCCUGUACGUCGAUCAUCGUGGGCAGGAGUCUCUCUCCUUUGCCUGUAUAUCUCAGCGUCCAAUCCAAUACACCAUCAGUUUCUGUGCAGCAAUUAUCUCGGAAGACCUGGCUCCUGUACUAGGCUCCAAGCCCUAAGUUUGGACUCAAACCAUUCCAGGGAUGAUUUGGCGCCGUCACCGGCUCCAUGACUUCUGCCAAGCUGCCUGAGCAACAGGUGCCUCGAGGGACGACGAGGACACAUUAGCAGCACUGCGCUAAGAACUAAGAGAUGGCCACGAGGCUAACUCUGCCUUGUGUGCGCCUCAGUCGGCCCCUCCCCAUUUGCAGGAUGAGCAUCCGCUUGCAGUCCGACAGUUUUGUCUGUGUUCCUCUGUACUCAGGGCCCGUCAUAUGCCCAGAUGAGGCAGGGCUCCAACACGCACGGUGGAGGUAAGCUAAGCUUUGCUGAGAGGCCAGGGGUCCGGCCAGAAAUGUGUCUGCCCUGCAGUGGGACUGAGCAACCGAGACCAAAGUCGCCCUUACACUCUGAAGGGAUGCAGAAACACCAGAAAUCCUGCGGGUGGAAGUGGACCCACAGACAGCAGUUCCAGGAGGACUCAGCUUUGAUGUGGAAGAAUUGUGAAUUUGGAUCCAAUCUACUGAGCACAGGAUAGCCAGGGAGCCCAUCCAGCAGAGGAAAGAUGCUGCCAGGGCUGAGAGACGGCUCCGCGUGCCUUCCGCUGCUGCCUAGUGCCCUGCUCCUGCUGUGGCUCUGCCCUGCUGAGCUGUGAGCUCCCAGCCUGCUGUCUGCUUCCGUGUGGACCGGAGGCAGGCCAAGGGCAAGGACUCAACCCCAGUCCAGGAAGGGUGCGGUCACGUUUGUGGUCUGCUCCAGCCCUCGUGUCCCCACAGACGUAUGGGGACACCAGUGCGUCUGACUGCAGAAGUGCGUGCUCUGUCUUCAAGCUUACGACUCAGGAGAAUUCUCUGCUCUUAGACGCAUCGCUAUGAUUAGAAAGUGUUAGUUUGCAUGUACUGUUAGCAAUAGCAGUCCCCCCGAAAUGCAAUUUUUGAUGAAUGUUGUAAUCUAAGGAAAUAAAUCCCUCGUUUUCACA